UACGUAGGGGGCUAGCGUUGUCCGGAAUCAUUGGGCGUAAAGCGCGUGUAGGCGGCCCGGUAAGUCCGCUGUGAAAGUCCAGGGCUCAACCCUGGGAUGCCGGUGGAUACUGUCGGGCUAGAGUCCGGAAGAGGCGAGUGGAAUUCCUGGUGUAGCGGUGAAAUGCGCAGAUAUCAGGAAGAACACCCGUGGCUAAGGCGGCUCUCUAGUACGUGACUGACGCUGAGACGCGAAAGCGUGGGGAGCGAACAGG
RNAcentral lists this ribosomal RNA (253 nucleotides) under uncultured bacterium. Its description in RNAcentral is "partial 16S ribosomal RNA". It matches the Rfam family "Bacterial small subunit ribosomal RNA", at positions 524 to 776 of the family's 1533-position model. The record is from RNAcentral.